GGGAUAAACGCUGGCGGCGUGCAUGAGACAUGCAAGUCGAACUGACGACUCUGGCUUGCUCGAGUCGUUAGUGGCGGACGGCUGAGUAACGCGUAGGUGACCUGCCCCGAAGUGGGGGAUAACUGCCCGAAAGGGUGGCUAAUACCGCAUGUGGUGGUUCGUUCAAUCGACCCAUCAAAGCAGCAAUGCGCUUCGGGAGGGGCCUGCGUCCGAUUAGCUCGUUGGUGGGGUAACGGCUCACCAAGGCGACGAUCGGUAGGUGGUCUGAGAGGACGAUCACCCAGACUGGGACUGAGACACGGCCCAGACUCCUACGGGAGGCAGCAGUCGGGAAUUUUUGCGCAAUGGGCGAAAGCCUGACGCAGCAACGCCGCGUGAGGGAUGAAGGCCUUCGGGUUGUAAACCUCUUUUAUCAGGGAAGAUAAUGACGGUACCUGAUGAAUAAGCCACGGCUAACUACGUGCUAGCAGCCGC
RNAcentral lists this ribosomal RNA (474 nucleotides) under uncultured bacterium. RNAcentral describes it as "SSU rRNA". It matches the Rfam family "Bacterial small subunit ribosomal RNA", at positions 27 to 518 of the family's 1533-position model. The record is from RNAcentral.